Molecule: long non-coding RNA, 19208 nt
Filed under: Homo sapiens (human)
Lineage: Eukaryota; Metazoa; Chordata; Mammalia; Primates; Hominidae
Description: non-protein coding lnc-CRACR2A-8:1
Source: RNAcentral
AGGCUCAGCUUCCAUCACCGCGUGGCGGAGCCCGUGUCCGGGCCAGGUGAGCGCGGGCGGCUGCGGCGGGAGAAGCGCGCCCGCGUGGGGUGGGGCGCCGGGGGCGGGGGAGGGAGGCUGGGGGUCCCGGCAAGGCGCCGCCACCUCCGCCGCCCGCAGUCCCUGAUGGACCGUGGCGGGGCCGGCGGGCAGGGGGACGCUGGCUGCGGAUAGGGGUGGGGCAGGCAUCCCGGGGGAGUCGCGGCGCGUGGGAGCACGCGUUGGUGUGUGCAGGGGCCCGCAGCAGGGGGUCCUUAACCACACGCCUGAGUCCGCCUUCUGCACUUGUGCCUUGGGAAGAGCUCUGGGCCUCUGGGGGCCGUGUGCCCUCCCGGGACAUGGCUGUCCCUCUUCAAAAUGUCACUCUCUUCGCCCACCCUGAAUUCCAGUAGCUGCCUCUUGUGCACAAGCAUAGCCGACAGGCUCAAACUCGGCUUAGCUAGAUGUGGACAGGUCGUGGCUGCCUGCCCCACGCAACACAGAGUCUGCUAAAUGCAGGCACCUGCUGUGUGUGGUGCACGUUGUUCCCAGUGGGUCAGGCUGCCUGUACAGGGAGGUCCUGUGUUCCCUGGGCACGUCUGUGCAUUUGUGGCAACAUGAUUAUGCAGGCCCUGUCACCUGUUUGUGUGCCCAUCCCUGCACAUGCAGCUGGCUGGCUCCUAUGAAAGGAGGAGGGUCUGGAGGUUUUGGGGUGUAUAGCUUUCCUAGGCGAUAUGUGCAGUGUUAACGUGUGCAUUGGCUGGAAAGUGUGAAAGGGAGGCGGCUCAAUUGGGUUCGGCCGGACAGCAUCUUAACAUAGGUCUCAGCUGCUGUGUGUACAGGAAUAGUGUCCCAGGGGUCUGCAGUGUGUGGCAAGUAUUCUGAGGUGGGGUUGUGAGAAGAGGCGGCUUCUGAAAAAAGUCCUAAGUGCACUCUGGGGCAUCGGGUGUAUGCAGGCGGAGGGUGGGGUGGCAGGAGAAUGAGGGUGGUAUUAGGCCAGGGUGUGUUCGAUUUGGGGGCAGCUUGUAGUGGAAAGCAGCAGCUGGAGUCUGGAGACCUGGAUUUGAAUUGGAACUUAGUGGUUGUCACUGUGUCAUUCGCUUUGUUGCCUGGAAAGGUCGUCUGGGGCUCAGUUACUCUGUGUGCAAAAUGGGACUGAUAAUCACUGGCUUAUCUCCCAAGGAGGCUGGAAGCUCCCAUUGGUCAAUGCCUGAAAGUGCUUUGGCAGCAGUAAGGUUCCCAGGGCCAGGGGCACUGCUGGGCCACAGGUGCAGAAUUGGUGGUCUGGGGAGUGCUUGGGUGGCCUGGAGCUGUUUGGUUUGUGGAUAGUAGGCGAGCCAUUUGCAGGCUGCUUCCUGUCAUAUUCAGCACAGCAGGAGUGUCUGACUCUUGCGUGUAAAAUAUGUAUAGACCUGUGUAGUUUCUUAUAGUUCUUGUAUGAAUGCCUUCUAUAGCACAGGAGGAAAACUGGCUUUGCUGUCUUUAAAUCGCCCUGGAGCACUUUGCCUUUCCAGAGAGCCAUCCUCCAGAUGAACCAGUGGGCUUAUGCCCACCAUCUUGCUUUUACCUUUAUGCCAAAUGAAGCAGUAAGGAACACCCUCCUGUUUGCAGCCGGAGAGAUAGGAGAUGAAGAAGCGUUCCCAGCCAAGGUCACAGAUCUAGGGUGUCAACUGCAGGCCUCUGUCUUUUGCGGUAUAGAGCCUUCAGAUCCAGAGCCAGCCCUGGCCCCAGCUGAGGAGGGGAGGGGAGGGGAGGGAAGAGUCACGCCAGACAGCACCAAACAGCAGGACAUGGUUUGGUGGUUUAUCUGCCCUUGGAUGUCACCUGUCACUGAUAAUUUUUUUUUUUUUUUUGAGAUGGAGUGGGAUUACAGGCGCCCGCCACCACACCUGGCUACUUUUUGUAUUUUUAGUAGAGAAAGAGUUUCACCAUGUUGGCCAGGCUGGUCUCUAACUCUUGACCUCGGGCGAUCCACCUCCCUCAGCCUUCCAAAGUGCUGGGAUUACAGGUGUGAACCAUUGCACAGGGCCCACUGAGACAUCUUUGUAUGUGGUAGCUGUUUAGUAAUGUCUGUGAAAGCGAAGAGCCCUGGGUGGAGGAUGCUGGAAACCCAAGUCAGGUCCCAGCUGUGCCCCUGCCCGCCAUGUCCUGGGGAAGGUUGCUUUGCCUCACUGGGUCUGCUUCCUCAUUGGUCCAAAACAGGGCAUCUUUCCAGAUUGUCAUUCUGAUCUCAGCUUGUGUUUCACUUCCUCAGAGAGGCCUGUCCUUAUCCCCAUCUAAAGUGGCCACCUCCUCGUCACGUUCACAUCACUUCCGUGAUCUGUUUCCUCUGUGGCACGGGCCACCCUUUCUGAACUUCCCUUUGCCACGUCCUACUACAGUGUGAGCUUAAUGAAAGCGGAGACUGCGUUUGUCCUGUCACCUGCUGGCUCACCAGCACCUAGACACAGUAGGUGCUCAAGAAAUAUGGUUGUGUGAAUGAGUGAACAAAGAGGUUAACAAGGGGCUGGGGAUGAUGCAUGCCUGUUUUUCAAACUGUGCUCCUAGGAGCUUUGGACGGGGAGAGCAAGCCCCAUGGCCCUGGAUCCCUCACACCAGCAGCUUGGGGUUCAUCUAAGUUACAUGCCGGCUUCCAGGUAGGAUUUCCUUUGAAGAAAGUGUUCUCCCACUAAAAUAAAACUAGAAAGCCAUUGCACCAGAAGACUUCAAGGGGUCUUUUCAUCUUUUCAGCUCCAAGUUGAAACAGUUGUACGGCACCUGGAAGUAAUGCACACUUGGCCUUCUGUGAGGGUCACAGGCAGGAUUCACGCACACAGAGUGGUUGUUCCUCGGCUCAUUUCGGUUUGGCCAUGGCAUUGAUCCACAGCAAUUUUUAUGCAACUGAUUUAAUUUCCUGAAUUUUUGGUUGGAGUUAAUAUGAAAACGAUUUUGCAUACAAUACGGUAGCAAGGGCUAUGUGGGAACUCUGAUCCAUGGGAGAGACAGGCCCUGGACAGGGAAAAAACACAAAACAUCUGCAAGGUGGAGAAACCACACAUGGAUAUUUGAUAGCUCCUUAUUUAAGGUGACUGUGUUUGUCGUCGUCCUCUGUUGGGUAUGUUCCCAGGCAGCCUGCCCAGAUGUGCCUCAUCCCCAGGAGAUGCCCACUCAGCAUUGUCUUGCUUGAGUAGUUGGCAGUGCAGGGGAGCUCUGCUCUCUGGGCGAGUGCUGAGCCUGCAGGACAGCCACGUGGUGCACCAGCCUUGGCCUGUAUUUACAGCAGCCAUGCAUCCUAGGGUUUCCAAGCUCGUCUCCAUGUAAAACAUUGUCUCGUGCUGUUUUUUUCUAUAAAUACACUUGGAAAUGGUAGGGCAACUGCUGUGUCCAACACUGUGCCCAGGUUUGGGGCACAGAACCUAGAUUACCUCUCCCUUUUCUUCUUUUCUUUUUUUUUUUUUUGACAGAGUCUCACUCUGUCGCCCAGGCUGGAGUGCAGUGGUGUGACCUCGGCUCACUGCAAACUCCACCUCCCGGGUUCACGCCAUUCUCCUGCCUCAGCCUCCCGAGUAGCUGGGACUACAGGUGCCCGCCACCACGCCCGGCUAAUUUAUUUGUAUUUUUUUAGUAGAGACGGGGUUUCACCAUGUUAGCCAGGAUGGUCUCGAUCUCCUGACCUUGUGAGCCACCCGUCUAGGCCUCCCAAAGUGCUGGGAUUACAGGCGUGAGCCACCGCGCCUGGCCAUUACCUCUCCCUUUUCUAAGCCCCAUGCGAGGAGCAUUACUGGCCAUGCCCGCAACAGACAAGAGGGCAUCAUUGUUUUGUUUGGUUGGUUUAGGAGGGCUAUUAAGGGAGAUUGUGGAGACAAAUGGAGAGAAUAUGGGAGCAAAGAACUGGGCCCUCUGUUCACUCCUUUUGACACUCCUUUGCUUCUUGUACAUGUCCCCACUCUGGCUGACUUUGGUGUGUUUCUGGACUCACACACCACAGCACAGAUAGAGUUGCAGAGGGGGCAACAAAUAUACACUGUGCACAAAUAUUCACCAAGUGUCUGCUAUAAGCUUGAACCUCCAGGCCCUAAGAAAUGCAUCAGGACCCAGCCCCUGAAUGCUGAGUGCUAGUUGUUGAAGAGAUUAAACUUACACCCAAGAAUAGGUGAGAAAACAGCCCAGUGCAGAUUGAGUGGCACCCACCUGGCCACACCUGGAGCUCCCAAAAAGGAAAGGUGGGCAGAGCCUGCAGGCGAAGGCAGCAGGCAGCAAGGGUGGCAGGAGAGCUCAGCUGUGGGGGUAGAUGGUCCAGGCGUGGAUCCUGGCUAUGCCCCUUCCUCUCCGUGAGAACUUCCCUGUGUUAUGUGACCUCACUAAGCUUCAGUUUCCUCAUCUGUAAAUGGAGAAAAUGACCUGUAACUCCUAGUGAGGUGCAUGGAUGCCUGCCUGAGCUGAACUCAGUAGAGGGUAUGGAGCACCCAAGUGUCUGAUGACCACAGUGAAGUGGUUUGGAAAAGGGCCCAUGGUGAGGAGGGGGCUCUCAGAUGGUGACCGCUAUGGGAUUGUCUGAUGCUGGUCUCCUCUGUCAGUAGUCCAGAGGUCUGUGACCUCCUGCUGGUUAGGCCCCAGGCCAACCAGGCACCCCCUUUCUUCCCUUUCCAACUGUUACUUCCAUGCUACUCCCCACAGACAACUAUGGGAAGGAAAGUGUCUGCACCCCAACAGCCUCCUCUCCCUUCCUCACCGCUCAUGUGCAAGCGCAUGGCCCUGCUUAGAGCUGAAGUGUCCUUAUUGUGAAAUGCCGAAAAUUGAGGAUGUUACAGAGGCUCAGGAAAUGUUCGGGAGAAUUGCUUUGAUGGUUCCCCAGUCUGUUCUGAAGCAUUGAGUAGGGGCCCCCAUUGAUGGUGGCGUGGGAUAAACCCUAGUGGCUCUCAGCCUCGUUCCAAUUUACUAUUGCUAAACAUGGACUUCAUCGUUUGAAAGACUUUUGUCAGCCAGACUUCCAUAUAAAUGAGAAUUUGACUCUGUAUCUUUAAAAUAUUAAUGAAAGGCCAUAUCACUAAUAGUUUGGUUUUACUAUCCAGUGUCUAGCUUUCUGCUUUAUAUCAUUUACAUUUUUAAAAACAUCAGUUUAGGUCAUUUACUAACAGAAUUCCAGUGUGUUUAAAAGGCUCAGAAAGGGGCCGGGUGCAGUGGCUCAUGCCCGUAACCCUAACACUUUGUGAGGCUGAAGCAGGAAGAUCGCUUGAGCCCAGGAAUUCAAGACCAGCCUGGGCAACAGAGCAAGGCCCCGUCUCCACAAUAAGAAACAUAAUUCUAUUCUCAGGUAGUGUUGAGGACUAUUAUUCUAAAACCAGGGUACAGGACAAAGGUCAAAACCCUACUACUUAUCUAUGAAAGGCAGCUAUGAAAGAGAAAUCUCUUUAUAGCAUUUCAAGAAUAUUUAUGGAAACUUAAACUUCUACUUGCCAAAAAGGCUGUACAGUCUAGCUACCAUACCGGCUAUGUGGUUAAAUAAGAUAAUGUAAUUUUUUUUUCUAACUGACCUCAAACAAACAGGACAACACAGCUCACCUCUAUCCUUUGUACUUUUUUCUUCUGAACCUUUUUUUUUUUCUUAAAAUUUUUUUGAGUCUCACUUUGUCACCCAGGCUGGAGCACAGUGUCUUGAUCAUGGCUCACUGUAGCCUCAACUUCCCAGGCUUAAGCCAUCCUCCCACCUCAGCCUCCAGAGUGGCUGGGACUACAGGCAUGUGCCACUACGCCCAACUAAUUUAAAGAAUUCCUUGAAAUGCCUAACAAUAAGUUAAGAGGGAUGAAAGGAAAAGGGAACUAUCCAUGACCCUAUUUUUUUUUCCUUCUAUGUCAUCAUUUUGGCGUUAGUGGUUGGUUAAAGCAGGAAGCAACACAAAUGAGAAAGGAUAGGAUAUCAUAAGAUUCCUCGGUUGUUCGUGUUUCUUAGAAUGUAUAUCUUUCUGCAUUUGAACAAAGUUCUGAUUCCAACAUAGAGUGUGGCUUUUCAGUGCUGUGAACGACCUGUUUACUCUGUCGCAGAGAUCUUGUCUUGGGCUCACUUUGAGGUUCUCUGAGCUCCCAUGCACUGUGGAUCCCUGGAAUUCUGUGCUCACAGGCAUCGUGAACACCAUAUGCAAAUAGAGAGCAGGAAGGCACGGACACACAUAUGCACAUGUCUUCAGCUAAUGUUCAUGUCCCACUGUCCCACUGGACUUCACUUAUGAGACACAAGUUCAAAUUUGAAAUUAUCAAGAAUUUCAAGAUGCCAACAGCAGGACAUUAAACCAAAUGCAGGGUCCUUCCAAAUGUGAGCCUGUGAGCCCACACAUGUUGCACACCCAUGAAGCCAGCCCUGCCUCAAGGCUUUGUGGUCACAUUUUUAAAUGGUGGCCCAGUUAAGGCAACACAAGUCCUUUCAACAGGUGGGCCAUCCAAGGGCCCUAGGAUUCAAGUUAGUCAUUUGUAUGUUUAGAAAAUGAUGGAGGCUUCCAUUUCUAUUAAUAUAUCCAGAUCUCCACCCUCCUGCUUUACGUCAUUUACAUUUUUAAGAGCUUAGGUGUUUUACUAACAGGUUCUAAAAGCAAAUGAUCGGAGUAGAGGUGGAAUUGUCCAUUUUGUCUGUCUGAGAUUUGGAACAGAUUGAAAAGUAAAAAACUUCUAGGAGUUCUUAGGCCCAUUCAGAUACUCACUUGCUGUUCUAGGCAUGACCAUUUUUAUACCAAAGCUGAGCAGAUAGGUUGGGAUGAGGCAGGGCAGGAGGGAAGGAGGGAGUGGCUUAGUUAUUGAGGGAGUACUCUUUGGGAGAGAAGAGAGGCACAAGGAAGAGGAUGUGAGAAAGUGCCAGAUAACUCCGCAUUUGGGGAUCCUUUUUUGUACAUGCAGAGGCUUCUAAGCCAGGCUUUCCAGAAGAAAGAAACUCCUCUGUGUGGAGAGAGAGGGUGAGACAGGAAGUUAGAACUGGAAGCACUGGGAGAGAAUGAAAUCCUAGAAAGGCAAUUAACACUUUCUGACAGCACUGAGCAGAUAGCUAAGGGCUUUCAACUCGCAAGUACAGGGAAUCAAAUGCUAGUACACUGAACCAGAAAGGGGGCGGAGGCAGAAGGAAACCCCUCUCCUCUUUUUCAGAAAGGAGAACUCGGUUAGAAAGAGCAGUGAUGGGUAACAGUAAAAGUUUGGUAAGGAGAAGCCACAUUUGCAUUGUACCUUUAAUUCGUUUAAAUUAUCCACAUUCACCUUGGUUUUAAUUUAUUGUAUAAAUAAUGCUAAUUGUGAGUAGCUAUUUUCACCAUUAAAUUUGACAGAUACGUGCCUGGUUGAUGCAAAUUCUCCAGGGCUCCAAAACUGUUUUUACGCUAUGACCUGAAAGCUAAGAAUUAUUUUUUACAUAUUCGAAGAUUUGAAACAAACAAACAAAAAGCAAAGAAGAAUAUACUGCAGAAACCGUAUGUGGCCUGCAAAGCCAAAAAUAUAUACUAACAGGUCCUUUAUAGAAAAAGUUUGCUGACCCCUAAUCUUUCCCGCAUCAGCCUGGGGUUAUCAACACCUAAGUCAGUUCAGUGCAUGACACUGCUGUCUCUCUGAGUACCAGCCUCUGAGGUCCCAAUUUAAUUCGCCUGGGGUGCAGCCUGGGAAUUGAUUUUUUUUAACCCUCAGGUGGUUCUAGUGGACAUCUGAGGUCAAAAGUAGUUCUAAUACAGUAGUUCCCAAAGUGAGGUCUGGGACCAGCAGCAUCAACAUUGCUUGUUAAACGCAAAAUCCCAGGCCCUACCCCAAACCUGCUGACUCAGUAACUCUUGGGAGGGGUCCAGCAACCUACCAGUGUGCAUUCAGGUGAUUCUGAAGCACGUUCAAGUUUGAGAACACUGCUCUAAGGCUUGGCCUUUCAAACUUAAAGGCCGUGCUCAUGGUUGCUCAUGGCAGGCAAACCUCACGAAUGGGUCAGGUUGAAAGCACGGAAGCUGACGAGGGGGAACCGAAAGGCUUCAGGUCUGAGCUUGGAAAUAACCACAGUUGUUCUCUUACACAUAACUGAGGCCCUGGGAGGUGAAGUGAGCUGCAGGAACCAAAGCUUGGGACAAAAUAACUCCACCAAUGAUAAUAAUGAAUUCCUCCCUAGAAAAUUAUCAUUUAUAAUACUUUUAACAUUGGGCUCUAUUUUUCAUUAUUACAUGUAUAUUUAUCUUUUAAUGUUAGUAUAUUAAUUUACAGAAGGUACCCACUUGGUAAACAAGGAUUUAAACACAACUUUGAACUAUCUUGAAAUAAUUUAAAUAAAUGUUAUACAUGCCUGGGAAGUAGGAAAAUUGGACUGCUGACUUUCACCUCGUAAUUGAUGGGUGAAUUCUGUUCUCCUAACCUCCCCCUAUGGGAGGACAGAUUCCCACAGGGUACUUGGCCCCAGUUUCCUGCCCUCCAGUGAUGUAGCCUGUGGGGCAGUUAUAAGAAUGUAAUAAGAAUUACACUGAAGGCCUACCACGUGCCAGGCACAGUACGAGGUGUUAACAUACAUUAUCUCCUGUAAUCAUUACAACUCUCUAAAGUCAGCGUUAUUAUCCCCAUUUUAUAGUUGUGAAUGUUGAGGCACAGAGAGCUUAAAGACCUUCCCCAAAUCCCAAAACCAAUAAAUGGCAGAGCUGAGAUUCAAACCCAGGGAGGUCUGGCCUCAAAAUAGGCGGGACUGGAGGUAGGGAAGCUUGCCUGUGAUCAGGCGUGAUAUGGCAUUUCAGUUAAUCUACACUAGUUGAGUUUAUGAAUACGCAAAGUGAUCUUUCCCAGCCCUCCCAAGUCUUGCCCAUUUUCCUGGGUUUCCUUGGCAAGAAGUGAGUCCACACCAUACAAAGGUUGGAUUGCUGAUGUGCUCAUCUUAGAAUCCAGGGACCAGAGGCACUUGGAGCAACCAGAGAUCUUCUGUCCAGGUUGUCUAGAAUGCCAUCGCUACCAACAGAGCUGACUGGGUCCUUAAAUUCCUCCUUCACUUUGGAAAUUAGCAGUCAAGGUGGUGUAUAAAUAUUACACAUUAUCAUCCUCGUCAAUAAUAAUGAGGCAGCCUUUCAGAUCUUCGUGUCUCCAAAGCGCUGUGUGCUCAUUAGCUUCUGAUGGCUUAGUAUCGUUAUCCUUGGUUACAGCCACAGACAAUGGGAGCACAAAGGCCAUGACCCCGGGGGGGUAACACUGUAAGUCCACAGUCCUCCCUAGCCUGGAGCACUGGGCUGAGAAUCAGAGAUACGGAUUUGCAUCUCAACUCUUCUCAGACUUGAUCGACUUGAGAAUGGAGAAAUGACAUCCACCCUCUUGGUCUCUUUAGCCAAAAUAUGAGAGUGGGCUGAUUUCUAAGGUUCCUUCUCCAUGUGAGACAGGCAGGCAGCUUUCUAAACCUUGGAAACAAUGGGGCGUGAGUGAUGAUGGUGGUGGUGGUGUGACGAGUACAUGAUGAAGGAGCUGAUUUGGGCACUCUCUAGGGUAUUCUGAUGCCAAGUUGGUUUCUAUAACAUCCUCCCUCAACAACUCAUGGAACUAAAAAUCUUCCUUUUUUUGGAAAGAAUUGGGGUAACAGUGUGGGAGUCGUUGGUUAAUCGCCAUGUGCGUUCAUUAUUUCCUUGCCCAAAAAGGUCAAGCAUCUUUUUACCAGACAAGUAUCUGUGUGCUUGGCUCUCUUGCAAGCAGAAGAUUCUAAUGCUUUCCAAAGGGAUUUCUAAGUCCCUAAAAUACAUGUUUUCACAGACCUGAGAUGGAGAGACAUGGUUUAUUUGUCAGGGAGCUUAGCAACUUCCAAGCUCUUUUCAAUAAAUCACAUCACCUUCGGACUUAAGACCUAACAGAUUUACAUCCAAGUCCCAAAGUGAACAUUGGAAUUCAAAUCUGGAUGCAUCAGUGUUCUCUCCCUCACCCUCAACACAGAUUUAUCAGCCAGAGUGGUGUGGGAGAAGGCAGGCUGGGCCAGGAGUCUGGACACCUGGGCUACCUGGCUUCUAGCUCCAGCUCGGCCUCUAGUAACAUCUCUGGAGCCCACUGGGUUUCUGAGCCUGCACCAGGAAAAUAGUCUACUCUUGGGAGUUGACAGUUCAGGCCUACACAAAAAAAGAAGGGUUCCACAUCAGUGGUUCUUACCCUUUUUGAGUGAGGGAGUCACAAACCCCUUUGGAGAUCUGCUAAAACCUGUGGAACUGCAGCACAUACAUAGUAAAACUCUUCAUACCAUCUCAGGGGCCCCGAAGUUAUAAUUCCCUGCAAGGAAUGGUCUUUUAGUCUCAUUGCUAAGCCAUGGUAUCCUGUUCCAGAGACAAGACAGGCACUAUUUUGAAAGCAAAUGAGAAAUUGUACAAAUCCUUCUGUCUGGGAAAGAAGAUGAGUUUUUAAGUUAUUCGGACAUUGUUUAUUCAAUUCCUGCUGCCAGGAAGGAAAUGUCGCUGCCUUUCCUAUUCCCAGCGGGCAGGUUAUGAAUAUCCUUAAGCAUGAAAUGUCGUGCAUGAGGAAGGCUUUUGUGGGAGAGCUCCUCCUUCCACCCCGCAGUAAACUCUUCUCCAGCCUGGCCCAUCCUGCCAAAGCCACAGAACAUCCAAACUGCCACUAUCCCUUGCUGGGCUGCUGCUGUGUGCUGGGGAGGGGCAGCUGCACAUCCAGCCAGUACUUACUGAAUUCAGGCACCGGCUGGGGCAUCACGGUCACUCUCUCGGGGAUCCUCAGCCUUUGAUCCCCACUGGGCAGAAGACACUGGCUCAGGUAGAUCAGAAGACCUGCCCAAGGUCCUGCAGCUGGCAAGGGUGACAUUAAUUUUCCCUCCAUGUGUGUGACAUCCCAGCCCCUGAAGAAAACACCAGAGAGCCAGGCUCACAUUUAUGUUCACCCACCUCCUGGCACCAGGGAUGGGGAAGGGGACAAAAGCCACACUUCUGCCUGUGCUCAGGAUGGUGUAUGAGCUGCCCUACAGAGGACCUCUCCCUGAAGCUUGUGGGUGUCCUCUGCAGCAUCCAACCAGAGUCAUUUCCCAGUGGCUGCAGCUGUGGACCUGGGGGGUGCUGCUCUGGAGACCCCACCCUAGAAGGGGCAGCAGUGUUAUUGAGGGCCCCCUGUCCUAGGCUCUGAGUCCUCUGCAUCAAGCCUAGUGGAGAGCUCUUGGUUCAGACCAGUCUGAAAGCUGGGAUCAUUGUUGAUCAGGGGCAUGGACGUGCCUCCCACAUCCUCUAGACAGCCUUGAGGAUCCAUGGUCUCUGUGCCUUCCCUUCACCCCUGUACACAGCAGUGAACACUCACCUUGGCCCCUGAGAACAGAGACGCAUGUGGGCCUCCAGCUCCAGUCUGGGUCCUAAACCCAAGCCUGGGAGGCUGCUGGGCCUGCAGUGUUGUCUGCUUCUGCCUGGCUUCCUGGGGGACUGUGGAUGUUGCUGUCAGCCUCAUGGUUACCCAGCCCUCUGGCCUUCUGGAGUUUCUGCAAGGCACCAGCCUCCGGCUACUGGCUGGACCAGCUUGGAUGGACAGCAGAGUGACAGGGAAGACCCCCUUCAGAUGUUUCUGUCCUAGCUCCAGGUCUGAGGAGCAGAGCAGAGCUGAUCUGAAAGGACUCCCAUUGUAAAAUGGUUACAAUGGUAACUUUUAUGUUGUGUGUAUUUUAUCCCAAUAAAAAGAAAGAAAUGGAAAGGGGUUGGGACCAGGUUGGAGGUCAGCAGAAGCUGAAUAUUGUCUAUGAAAUGAAGGGCUUCUCCAUGGUCUUGGAGGCCACCUUCAGUUCUAAAAGUGUCUUGUGAGUCUGUGAUAUGGUCCCAACUCUCCCCACAUUUUAACCAUAAACAAGUGUGGAGUGAUGAUAGGCAAUUGAAGAAUGGAAAAGCUGCUGGCUGCCUGUUGGUCUCCUAGAGUGUCCAAGCAGGAAUUUUGUGGUCCCAGCUUUGGGGUCGGUGGCGGAGGGAGACAGUGGUCAGAGGAGCUUAAAUGAGUGGAGAGGAGCUUAAAUGAGUGGAGAGGGGCUUAACACACCCCUUCAACCAGAGGGGCUCUGCUUUAUCUUUUUGAUAUAUCGAGGCUCUACAUAAAAACUUAUUUGAAAGAAUCUACUAGAACACCAACUUUCUCAUUGUACAGAUAAAGAAACUGAGGCACAGAGGGAGGUGGUGACUUGCUCAAGGUGCUGGCAAGUAGAGAAGGCCUCCUGAAUCUAGACCCCAUCCCCAACACCUGGGCCUUUGCUUGCCCCUGCGAUCGUGUCCUCUGCCUUUAUAAACACAGCACAUCAGUUAGCGGACGGCCCUGUCCCUAGCAUCACUUUGGCAAUUCCCCUUUCUUUGAUCAUCAUGGGAAGUGAGGACUUCCUCAGCCCCUGCCCCUCCCCUGGGAUCCAGAAGCACACAUUCUUCCCCAACCAGAUUCCCUCUUGCCAAGCACUGGCCUUCACUCGGGGGCGAGGAGGGGAGGUGAGCAAGCAGCUCCCGCAUGGACAUGGACAGGGCCUCUUUACAUGUGGCUCCGCACGGGUGAAGAAAAGAUGGGCUCUUCUCUAUGGAAAUCGUAGAUCCAUUCUCCAAGUAUGGGAAAAAUUAUAGACUGUUUCCUUCCCUAUAUUUAAGCUCAUUCAAGGGAGCAGUAAGCAUAUUAGUAUAUUUCUGAAAGGUGUUUUGAAGACCCAGUGUGUCAGAAUUAAAACUCUGUGCUCUUAGUGUAGAAAGCCAGUGAUUUUCAUGAGUGAGCUUAGGGUCUGUCUUCUCACCAUCGGUUUCCUCUGCCCCUCUAGCUAGGUCCACCCCAGCAGGUGGGCAGCCUGGGCCAGCUUCCAUGGACUGACUGCAGGGCAGACUGGACAGCCCUUGACUGUCCUAGACAACUUGGCCUCCGCUGUGGUCUUGCAGAAUUACAGGAAAUCGAUUAAUACAUGCCCAAUUCUCCCUUCAGAUAGCUGGGCUGCUAAGUGUAUUUUUAGAAUUCAUUUAAAUAAAUGCUCAUUCCCCAACCCCAGACUCUGGUUUAUAACCCACUGGGCCAUUUGGAUUUCUUUCAUUUAACCUCAUAAUUGGUGACUCUAAUUCUCAUAAUCUGGUGGUCCCCUUUUGCUUACAAAGUCCACGAUCAUGAGCCUGAACCAUACCUUCCCUUCACCUUCUUUGCCUAAUUCCUGCUCAUCCUUAAAAACCUACGUCCAUAGUUCCCUCUUCAUCCCUCCUGCACACGUUUCCCCCUGAACUUCAUCCAUUGUGAUGUUGACGUGUCCGUUUUUCCAGCUGUGAGCUAUCGGAGUUCAGAGACAGCGUCAUUCAUUCCCUUCUCUUCAUCUCCAGGACCUAUGCCACAUAGUGAGGCCUAGGAUGUUCAAUAAAUUAAUAGAUUAAUUAACUAGUUAAUCUCAGAGGGGAAAACAGAUACAUGAACCUUCAGCAGACCUUCUGCAAUGCUGAAUGAGGAGGGGAGACGCAAGCAGGGCAGCAGUGAGAAGAGUGCAAUAGGCAGAUUUGCAGGGUGUUCUUUGAGGAGAGCUGCAGAAGGGGGUGUCUUGGUAAAGCAUUGCAUGUUGGGGAGGGAAGUGGUGACACUGAGAAAAAGGGGUGAGCAUUUCACAGGCGAUGGAGCGUCACUUACUGAGAUUAGGAAUAGGGGAUGAAUGGGUCGCAGGGAGAUGUUGUUGACUGCGUUUUGGGCGUGCUGAAUGGGAGGGACCUGCAGCCAUGGGAGGGAGCCUGCAGCUCAGCAGGGUUUUGAGUCAUCAGAUUGCUGGAGGUGGAUGGGGUUGGGCAUGAAUGGGGGUGGCAAAGAACAAAAAAUGUUCCCCACCUCACCCUGGAGGGAGUGCCAGCCUUAAAGGGGUAAGCCAGGAAGAAGACGAGUGGUUGAGGCCAAGGAAGAGAGGACAAAGCUGGAGACUUGGAGGUCAUGAUGUUCAGAUCAAGGCAAAUUAGAAACUCAGGAGAAGAACGAGGUGAGAAUGUACCACGAAACCAGCAGUGGAGAGAGGGUCUUCAAAAGGAAGGUGUGAUCAGUGCUUCAAAUUCAGCAGAGGUGAAGCGGGAGGAGGUUUGAAAAGCCACCUUUGGCUCUGGCAAUGACAGUAACUUUGGGAUGAGUAGAGUGGGCGCGGAGGUCAGACAGUGGUGGGGUGCAGGAUGACUGGACAAAGAAGUAAAGCUUCAGAGGAAGAAAGAUCUGGCAGUAACUCAAGAGGGAGACAGGAUCCAGGAAACUGUGGGUGACUUGAGAGACAGCAUGCAUUCUGAUGAGGCUGAGCUUUGCAGUCUUACAGCUGAGAUUCUAUCCCGGCUCUAUGUACUAGUCUGAUUAAGGACUAAUUUGUUGCUCCUAGAGCUGGAGCUAGAGUAGGAGCUCUUUUUCUUUUCUGAGAGGAACAUUUAUACAGAGAAGACUCUGACCACCAAGGGUAUGGGUCAGUUUAGAGCAAAGGCUAAGGUACUAACUCGGAGACCCAAUAAAACAGUAGCUUAGAAAAAACAAAGUUUUUCUAUCUCUCUCUCUCUCUCAUCUUACAGUCAGGGUAGGCAAGCUGUUCUGCUCCACACAGUCAUACAGGGAUCCCGGAUCCUGCCAUCUUGUUUCUGUACCAUCCCCGAGGACAGCGUGUGUCUCCAAAUGUGGCCUCCAGACAAGCAGCCCUAGUGUCACCCAGAAACUUGUCAUAAAUGCAAACUUCAGGCACCACCCCAGACUUACUGAAUUAGAAUCGCUGGGGGUGGGGCCAGCUGCGGUUUCAGAAGUCCUUCAGGUGAUUCUAAUGUACCCUUAAGCUUAGAAACACUUCUCUGAGGUGCUGUCCUUGUCUGCAUGGUUGAAGCUGGAUUUCAGACAUAUCUCUGUCGCAGUUCUCAGGAAGGGAAAAGAUUGUGGUGAUGUGUAGGGACAAUGUUUUAAGGUCCAGGCAUGGAGACGUACUUCCACUCACAUUCCAUUGUCAAGAACUACUAUAUGCCCAGAUCUAGCUGCUUGAAGGGUUGGGAAAUGCAGUCACUGGUUAGGUGGCCAUGUACCCAGUUACAGCUCCAUUAUAAUGGAAGAAGAGAAGAACAAAUUUUGGGAGAUCACUAACAGUCUUGGCUACUUGAAUCAAACUUAAGUUAAGUUUAAUGCCAAUUCCCAUCCUUUGGAAGAAAGAGAUCUACCUACAGAUCACAGUUAAGGCCUAUCUAUUUAAAGGGAUCCAUGAGGGUUUUCUUGUCAGGUGUACCAGCCUCCAAACCCUCACUGGACAUGAGCAGCCCAACCCUUAGUCACCUACCUUACCUGCUCAUCCGAGACACAUUGUGCUGCCCAGUUCCUGGUUGGAAACAUCCAAUAAAAGGAUUUCAUCCAGCUGGCCCCAUCCGAAAGAAGGCACCCCGGCUUGGCAGGGAAGGAUGGGUGGUAAAGAGGUGUUGGUUUGCUGGAAAUGAGAGCUAGAAGAAGAUAAGCAGCUUGUCCAGUGAGCAGCUAGGUACUUGCUGGGCGUUUAUGCACACCUGCACAGACUGUGCACUGCACAAUUCCAGGGGCAGCCAUUCACAGUCACUCUGAUGUGGAUAGCUCCCCCUGGAGUAGGGUGAUGCAGGCACCUGUGUCUCAGCCAUGUCCCACCCUCUGCUGAACCUCAGCACGCUGGGGUCUUGGGCACUCCUGUUGCUGCUGCUCAUUGCCUUACAGAUCAGGGUGAGCUCAGGCUCACCCUGAAUGGGCCACUCCUGAAGCCUCCAUCCUUCCUCUGAACAGCUUCUCAGGAGGAGUCUCAGUGCUUCAUGGACCAAGCCUGGACAGAUAAAUCAGUUCUGCAUGGGGGCAGCUUUUCUUCCCUCCUCCAAGUCUACUAAAAGCCCAAACCUGAGAAGCCUUGACCUUGGCAUCAGCAACACCUGGGCUUGAUUCCUGGGUCUGCCAGCAGAGCCUCAGCUCCUCAUUUAUAAAACAGAAGCAAUAGCAACUACCUUAGUGAGUUAUUGAAACAGUUAAAUGAGAAACUUGGCCCAUAUGAGGGCCCCACCACUAUUUAUGGCUGAAGCUGCAGGGGGCUGGGCUUUCCAACUACUGGCCAGUGUCUGGAGGACGUGCAGGGGGUCAAGGUGGCUUCUCGGGGCCCUAAAACACCUUGUCUGCAUGACUAGGAAAUCAUACAUUUCUGGAACAGGCAGGGUGACCUGCCUUCCUUGGAUCUGGCAUGUGUUUACUUAAUGAGCUACUUUCAGAUCCGACACACGCACACUGUCUCUCUCUACCAGCUGUCUGUGAUGCUGGGUUCUGCAGCAGGAGAAGGAAGCCACUUGUGUUUGCCACACUGAGAUCUCACUGUUGGUGGGCCUUAGGGGCACUGGGCUUUCCCAGCCUCUGCUGUGGGUCCAUCAUUAAGACCUGGAGCAAAGGCAAAGAAAAGAAGGUGUAGAGCUAGGAGAAGGGGGUCCACUGCAUGUUCAUUUCCGAUACCUCUCAGAGCUGUCCCCUCCUGCUGUGGGUUUCUUCUGAGGUCUGACUGCUCUACGGAAGUGUCUGAUUGUGCCUUCAGGUGUUUCCCAUCAAGGAAACUGUCUUGUUCCCAUUUGUGCCUCGUUUGGAUUAUUUUCAAAAAGAUAUUCUACUUUGAUGUACAAUGGAUAUAGGUCUGUGUUUCUCAUCUGAGGCUGACAUGGAAGAAGCAGGGAAAAAAGAAGAAGAUGCAAAGAAGGCAGAGAAAGCUCAGGGAAAGCUCCUCUUUCUGUUUUCUUUGACAGGUCUCCUGAGGAACCGGGUGAGAGCAAGAUGGGGUGAGAGGUAUUUAUGUAGCUCUCCCAGAGUUCAUGAGCAUUCACGUGGCUCUUCAGUGCAUUUGCUCAUUCGUUCACUCAUUCAUUCAGCAUCGGACACCAAUACAUGGGGUGCUGUGUUGGGUGCUCAGGACCCCAGAACUUAGCUCAGAUGUUGUCAAGUAAUGUAGUUAAGGGGCAUGCCUUGGGCUUCAUUCGUGGGGGUUGGUGACCAUGGGGUAUAAGAGCAGGAAGUGGGUUGGAGAUACCUUUAGAAUAUGGAGGAGAUGGGGCAGAAAGAUUCAGAAUGUUGUUGACAAGCAGUGUAACAUCAUGAUGAAGAGCCAGGACUUAACACCCAGCCGGGACAUUUUUGAAGUGAACUGGAGCACUGCUCUUAAUUAUGUUGACAAUAGGUGCAAAGCAGGAUUAAUCUCUGUCUCUCUUUCCCCUUCUGUAACGUGGGGAAGAUGUAUGUGCCUACCUUAAAGGGUUGUGAGGAUUAAAAGAGAUAUUACUUACAAAGGACAGUUGAUCCUUGAAUAGCACGGGCUUGUUGAACUGUGCAGAUCCACUUCUAUUUUUCAACCAAACAUGGAUGGAAAAUACAGUAUUCACGGGAUGCAAAACCCAAUUAUAUGGAGAGCCGGCUUUUCAUGUAUGUGGGUUCUGCAGGGCUGGCUGCAGAUCUUGAGCAUGUGUGGACUUUGAUUUACAAGGGGGUCCUGGAACCAAUCCCCCAUGUACGCCGAGGAACAACUGUACUAAAACCAUACCUGACACACCACAGUUAUUCCCGGGCUCACAAGGAAAUGCGCAAAGAUUUAAGUGAUAGAGCAAUGGCCCACAACUCCUGCGCUUGCAGUAAGUCUUAGAGUGGGAAGUAUCUUUACCCAACCUGGUAAAGAAGAUAGUCAUUCCAGUUUUAUGGAUGAGAAGAGCCAAGGCCGAAAGUCACAAACAGGUUAGAAAUGGAAGCGAGACCAGAACCCAGGUUCCUAGAUAUAAGCUCAGCCCCCCUUACAUUGCAGAAUUGGGGAUAGGGUUGAUCAGAAGAGAAGGAAUGUGUAGGGGUGACCCAAGCACCAAGACAGCUGUCACCUUCUGCACUCGAUGACCUCACUAGCCCUGCUGGGAUGGCAGAGGCCCAGGUGCUGCCUCCUGGAGCCCUACCCACAGGGCACCCCACCUGCAGCCCCAGCUGAGGGGCACCUCUUCCCACCCCCCCACUCCACCCAGGGUGUCCUUUUGCAGUGCCUUGCUGUCGUGUUGAGAAUAGAGAUGAGGUGCGUAAUGUUCACUGCAGCCGUGGCCUUUUUUCUCUUCUUUUAAAAUGGCUUUCCUGUCUGAACCAAUCUGCUUUGUUAAAUUGAGGUCCUGGUUUUCUGCAGGUGAAUUCUUCACGGCCACCUGGGGACAGGGUCCCCUCUCAAUCAUCUGUAUAGAGUCCACUAAGCGGGCCGAGAGGGUUGAGGGGCAGAGGCCCUGAGACUCCAUCCAUAACCAUCAGACACAGAGCCUGGCCGGUGUAUUAUUUAGGGUUACCCAACCUUUGCCUGUUGUCCUUCAUUUGGGAAGCUCUUAGAGAUGUGAGUUUCAUCAUGACCCUUGUCUGGCAAUGAAGCUGUAAAAUUGCAGUAUACAUAGUUCUUGCAACUCUCCAUCCCAUUUAGUCCUCACAGCCACCAUGCAAGGGAGACAAAGCCAGCCCAGCGUCAUCUCUAUCUUACAGAGGAGGAAGCUAAGGCUCCAGAGGUCACAGGGUUUGCCCAGGGUCACACUGCUGUAGGUGGCAACUGGUACUCACACCCAGAUCCCCUAACCUGCUGACUAGCGCUGGGUUUGUGUUUGUUUGGUCACCGAUUCUUGUCACAAGCGCUGGAGAAGUCCUCAUUUCAUAGGUCAGACAGAAUUUAAAAAAAAAAAAAAGGAUCUAGGAAAAACAGCAAACUGUGAUCCUGCGUACAGGCACCUCCAGAGACUCCCUGUGUAUGUAUACACCUAGAGGAUGAGAGAAGCUGAACCACUUGCCUGACAGUAGGAGCAGAAUCCUGACUAAUACAAAAAUGCAAUCUGGUACUUGCAAAUGAAGUAAAAAAUAGUCAUGUACUUAGGAAACCAUGUCUCUCAGGGCAUAAAGACUAGGAAUUCUUAGUGCUAGGGUUUUAAUUCAAGUUCCACCUACAGCACCAUCCACAUGACUCUAUAGUUAGCAAUCAAAUCCUAAGUUUAGUCCAAAAGAGUUGCCUGUGCUCAUUUACCUGCACACAACAAACACGGUAAUGGAAAAGAAAAGGCGGUUGCCGGCCAGGCGAGGUGGCUCACGCCUGUAAUCCCAGCACUUUGGGAGGCCAAGGCGGGUGGAUCACUUGAGGUCAGGAGUUUAAGAACAGCCUGGCCAACAUUGUGGAACCCUGUCUCUACUAAAAAUACAAAAAUUAGUCAGGCAUGGUGGUAUUUGCCUGUAAUCCCAGAUACUGUGGUGGCUGAGGCACAAGAAUCAUUUGAACCUGGGAGGCGGAGGUUACAGUGAAC